UAGGGAACCUUCGGCAAUGGACGGAAGUCUGACCGAGCAACGCCGCGUGAGUGAAGAAGGUUUUCGGAUCGUAAAGCUCUGUUGUUAGAGAAGAACGUUGGUAGGAGUGGAAAAUCUACCAAGUGACGGUAACUAACCAGAAAGGGACGGCUAACUACGUGCCAGCAGCCGCGGUAAUACGUAGGUCCCGAGCGUUGUCCGGAUUUAUUGGGCGUAAAGCGAGCGCGGGCGGUUCUUUAAGUCUGAAGUUAAAGGCAGUGGCUUAACCAUUGUACGCUUUGGAAACUGGAGGACUUGAGUGCAGAAGGGGAGAGUGGAAUUCCAUGUGUAGCGGUGAAAUGCGUAGAUAUAUGGAGGAACACCGGUGGCGAAAGCGGCUCUCUGGUCUGUAACUGACGCUGAGGCUCGAAAGCGUGGGGAGCAAACAGGAUUAGAUACCCUGGUAGUCCACGCCGUAAACGAUGAGUGCUAGGUGUUAGGCCCUUUCCGGGGCUUAGUGCCGCAGCUAACGCAUUAAGCACUCCGCCUGGGGAGUACGACCGCAAGGUUG
RNAcentral lists this ribosomal RNA (550 nucleotides) under uncultured bacterium. RNAcentral describes it as "bacterial SSU rRNA". It matches the Rfam family "Bacterial small subunit ribosomal RNA", at positions 355 to 896 of the family's 1533-position model. The record is from RNAcentral.